CGCACUGUAAACGAUGAUUACUCGUUGCUGGAAGGUAACUUUCAGUGACCAAGCGAAAGCGAUAAGUAAUCCACCUGGGGAGUACGCCGGCAACGGUGAAACUCAAAGGAAUUGACGGGGGCCCGCACAAGCGGAGGAGCAUGUGGUUUAAUUCGAUGAUACGCGAGGAACCUUACCAGGGCUUGAAAGUUAGUGACCGAUUCUGAAAGGAGUCUUUCCGCAAGGACACGAAACUAGGUGC
This 241-nucleotide ribosomal RNA is filed under the name uncultured bacterium. RNAcentral's name for it is "partial 16S ribosomal RNA". It matches the Rfam family "Bacterial small subunit ribosomal RNA", at positions 796 to 1041 of the family's 1533-position model. The record is from RNAcentral.